This 950-nucleotide long non-coding RNA is filed under the name Ixodes scapularis (black-legged tick). Its description in RNAcentral is "uncharacterized LOC121838081, transcript variant X1". Lineage: Eukaryota; Metazoa; Arthropoda; Arachnida; Ixodida; Ixodidae. The record is from RNAcentral.
CGCGAGUGUGUGCGUGUGCGAGCUGGUCGGGGGCGGCUGGUGCGGCGACGGCGGCAACGGCGGUGCGAGUCGCAUUGAACCGCGAUGAUCGUGCUGUGGGAGAUUGGAAAAUCUCCAUGCGUGCUAUGUUUGGCUAGGCAGACGAUGAACAAAUAGAGCCGGGUAUGAACGUAUGGCACAAGAUCUAACCAGCUUUUUCCGGGAUACCAGCAAGCGCUACAGCUGUUGCGCCGUCUUGUUACAGAAGGACUGGGCAUCCGCAGACACAAGUGCAGUCCUUCAACCACUGCUGGUGUCAAGUGCAGGAAAAUAACAAGGGGCUCACAGAUUUUUUACAGAGCAGCCGAGACAGCAUAAUGCUGGAUUGUAACUCUGUUGUUACAGUGUCUUUCACCAAGCACAGCUGUUCCGGGGACGGCCACGUGCUGUCUUUUUGCCUGUUUGCUACGGUCGACACGGUGGAGGCAGGUCGUGACAUUGCACGGACGGCUGGACACCGAAGCGACGCAGGCUGACCAUCAACCUUCUCAAGGGUGACCCAUCUUCAGCCUCCUGACCUGAGAAGCCAGUUCCGCCCUCCCUUGGCCACUGUGUCGAAGUUUCUGCGAAGCACCUUCUCGGCAGUGGUGCAGAGAUGCAGAAUGUCUGGGGAUGGACUGUGGAGACCGCCCUUGUCCUUGACACGCACCAGGUCACAUUUGUCAGUGGUGAGAAGUGCAAUCCUUGCACAGUCCGGGCAUUUUGCGUCUUUUGCAAAGUGAACGGCCACAUUGCCCGCAAUGUAUUGUACAAUGCUCUCGGCAAACUCCGAGAGAGGCUUGUAUCCUAUAACCCAGGUGGCGUCGGCGUCGUCCUGGCUUGUGUCAGCUGUCGGGUCUUGCUGGCGCUUGUCCGACGAGCUCAAAAGGAGCGUCUCCGUGCCGUCGACCUGACAGUUGCCACGGCUCGAG